UACGGAGGGCGCGGGCGUUACUCGGAAUUACUGGGCGUAAAGCGCGCGUAGGCUGUUGUGUAAGUUGGGGGUGAAAUCCCACGGCUCAACCGUGGAACAGCCCUUAAUACUGCGCGACUUGAAUCCGGGAGAGGGUGGCGGAAUUCCAGGUGUAGGAGUGAAAUCCGUAGAUAUCUGGAGGAACAUCAGUGGCGAAGGCGGCCACCUGGACCGGUAUUGACGCUGAGGCGCGAAAGCGUGGGGAGCAAACAGG
Molecule: ribosomal RNA, 253 nt
Filed under: uncultured bacterium
Lineage: Bacteria
Description: partial 16S ribosomal RNA
Rfam family: Bacterial small subunit ribosomal RNA
Source: RNAcentral